RNAcentral lists this long non-coding RNA (351 nucleotides) under Cervus hanglu yarkandensis (Yarkand deer). RNAcentral describes it as "lncRNA (ENSCHYG00000012565.1)". Lineage: Eukaryota; Metazoa; Chordata; Mammalia; Artiodactyla; Cervidae. The record is from RNAcentral.
CAGCGAGCCGGGUAGGAGAGACCUGGUGGUAUAAAGAGGGGGAAGUGUCUUAAAGAGCCAGUUCGUGAGAGCGUUCGCAGGUGGAGCACAUGGGACCGCGCCACGCGGCCGGCGGGGCCUGCUGGCGCUCUUUAGGUUGGGUGCGCCAGAAUCCCAGGAAGGAGCCAUUAAUAUCACCCUCAGCUUACGGGAUGAUGGCGUGGGGGUGCUGUCGCCUCACUUGCGUCCCAUAGGCCUGGCCCCUCCAGGCCCCGCCUGGGUGACCUUGGGUGAGCCGGCCUCACCUCCGUGGACUGUGCUCGGCUCCUCCCAGGCAGCACCGGCCAGCAAUUUGAUUGGCAGAAUCCAGGU